UCAGAUCGCCUCUUUGUUAACUUCACACUGAGUGAUUGUCACUCACGUGAACGAGCACCGAUUUGCCUCCGAUGUCGGGCAUUUGUCGG
Long non-coding RNA from Sinocyclocheilus rhinocerous, 89 nucleotides. RefSeq lists it as uncharacterized. The record is from RefSeq and is a predicted model, not a curated record. The transcript has 3 exons. NCBI's taxonomy places the organism in Eukaryota, Metazoa, Chordata, Actinopteri, Cypriniformes, Cyprinidae.